This is a long non-coding RNA of Gavialis gangeticus (Gharial), 2872 nucleotides long. RefSeq lists it as uncharacterized. The transcript has 3 exons. NCBI's taxonomy places the organism in Eukaryota, Metazoa, Chordata, Crocodylia, Gavialidae. The record is from RefSeq and is a predicted model, not a curated record.
AGAAAGCACUUAUGCACAUACUGAAAUCUGGUGGCACUUAAACAUGGUUAUAAGUCCAGUAGACUUCACUAGAGUUAAAUCACCUACUUAAGUACUGACCUGAAGGAGGGUCCACAGUUAUUACCAGCAAUCCAUUUAUAACAUGUUAUCCUAAAGAGCAUCCUAAUGUAUUCCUCAAUGAAAAUACAAUGGAGUGGUUUAUUCAUAUUACUGAAUAAGAAUGUGACUGAUUGACUGUUCUGUAUUGUCUAUGUCAGAGAGUAAUAAAGUUCUACCAUUAACUUAUUAAUUCUUAUUUAGAAAUUUUUCAUAUAACCGACAUGUUAUUUUGAUGUAAGUAAGCACUCUAUCUUUUUGAACAUUUUUUUUUGGUCUGGAGGGGACAACUCACAUAGCACUGCCAAUUGGCCAGGAUUAUGAGACAUAUAACUCAUGUAAAAAAUCUUUUUGUAGUAUAUAGAUGAUUAAUAAUAGAUUCAAAUAUCAAAAGAAUAAGAUGUAUUUCAUCACUUAAUUUGGGGGAAACACGCAGAAUAUUGUCCCUGUAACAGCAGUAGCAUAGAGCUGCACUCUAGAGGGGGAGUAAAGACAAAGUAGCUAUGAUGGUGUUGUUGAGCUUUAAUUCUUUUUAUGACAAUUCAUAAGGAAUUUCCCUAACCCAACUCCUGGUUAAUCACAGCCUCUUCCUGACAGUUUCCUUGUACUGACUCAUGUGGAUUUAAUAGUGUUUGUGGGGGGCACCCAGCUGAUAGAGCUCACUCUUGUAAGCUGCUUACAUGAGUGUAUAUUUUUCGUUUUGAAUGUCAUGUCUUCAGCAAGCUGUUUGCAUUUAUGUGAUUUUUCUCUCCUUAAUUCCUGUCUGUCUAAUGCAUUUAUUAUUGGAGGUUGAACACGUGGAUUCAAAGUGACAGCUCAACCGCCUUCUUUCUUGCUGCUUCUUGGUAAAGCUGAACUGUGGACAUUAUCUUUCUAUCCACUCUCUCUGGUUCGUCCCUGUCCCUUUAGGUUGUCUCUAAAUCCUGCCACAUCUUCUUCUAGAAUAUCUGCAAAUUCUUUUACUUUCUGGCUAUGAAAACUGUUGGUAUUUCCCACUUGGCCAAUGCAACAGCUUUCUGAGUGUACAUCCUGGCAACUCUUCACCUCGUGUUUUGUCUGUUGUUCAAGACAGGUAGGAAGGAAGACAGAACACAAGAGAUGGACUGAAACUUUGACUCAUCUGGGAACUAUUCUGCAAUAACUCACAGUACAGGGCAUCAUUCUUUCCCUCAACUAUUCCACCUGGAAGCAACAGCUGUUUUAUCGUGAUGCAUCUUGGUACAGCAAGUCAUUCAGCAUAUCUGAGGAAUGACAAGAGGUUGGGGAUCAUCAUGGAAGCAAUUACCAGGGUACCCAACCCGUAGAAGAGAACGGGGACAAAAAGCACCUGCACAACUUCUGUGUGGUUCUGCACAGAUAUUUUUGAAUCCAAGUCUUCAAUUUUCUUUCUUAGCUGAAAAAUUUUAUUUUCCAUUUUUUUAAUCCAAGGGGAAAAAGUAAGAAAUGUUCAUACAUAAUCUCUAUAAAAUCAUUUUUCCCCAUGUGUGGCAAUAUCUUCCAUGGAUGAGACUACUUUUCCAACAAACUCUAGUAAUACAACAUCCUGGCAAAGUUCAGAGAUGCUGCCUCAUCUAACCUCAUUGGCUAAAGAAGGUCCUAAAUUACUGCGGACAUGGUGUGGUUCUCUUAUGCAGGGGUCCUGUUGUCUUCUCAGGGCAUUUGGGCAAUGAAUAAAUGUACUUGUAGAUACUUUGACUCUAGACCACCCAAAAUACCUCGUGUGGUUAACUGCAGGGGACAGAAGCAACAAGCCAUGAAUGCAAACUAUGAAAUAUAGCUACAUUUAUCAUUGGACAGCAGCCCUGAAGCACUGGUGGCUAUAGGAGGCCUGAGGGAUCUCAGUAACCAUAGUUUGCUUAACAGGACUGGUGAUCAAAGAACUUGCCCUCAUUCAUGCUGUGAACUACAUCUCCUUCCCUUCCCAUUCAGCCAGGCUCCAUGUCUAAGAAGGGAUAAAGGGAGAACCUGUGUAAGCAGAUGGUCAAUAAAAUCCCAGACAGGCCCAUUUUGAAGACUACUUAUGCUUUAGUAACUGGGCUCGAUAUAGGAGGUCUUCAGUAAACCUUUGUAUUAUAGGCAGAAUGGUCAUUCUUACAUCUUACUUAAUGUCUUCCUUUGUCAGGACUCCUGUUCAUGCAGUUUAAUUUUUCUCAAAUGUAAAGCACUUGUCCCAAAAUGAAAGAUUCUGUAUUUUGCUGAAUAAGAAAUAGCCUUUGAAGCCAUUUCAUUUUUCAUUAUAGUGUUACAGAUUACCUGAUAGUCAUGCUGGGCUUGAUUCUCACUUUCACUAAAGCUACUUUACAUCAGUCUCACAAAGGGGCUUUGAAACAUGCAUUAAUUACAUUCACAUUCACUUGAAGGCCAGCAUUCGUGCCAGAGAGGUAUAAAACCAGCCUGGUAUACUUGAGAAUCAGGUUCAUUGAUUCCAAAAGUUGGUUUUACUUAAGUCUUACAGGAUAAGGACCUCUUUUUACUGAUUUUUUCAUAUGUACAGUUUUAUGAUUACAUUGUGGUCAUAAAUAGCUUAACUAUUAAAAUAAUGCCUAGUAUGCUUCAUCUUCUCUUUGUUUUCUUGCUACAUGCCACAUGCUUCUGAGUAUAUAUAGUUUUAGUUAGACUUAAUAUCACUGUCCACACAGCAUAUUAUUUUCUGUUGUGUAAUAAGGAGAGUUCUUCAUUAGUUGCAGCUGUCUCAGUGAUAGCAAAAAAACCUUAUACAGUAAGGAGGGCAUUUUCAAAUUUGGAACAAGGCUUUAUACCAUUAAAAUGUAUAUGU